RNAcentral lists this ribosomal RNA (497 nucleotides) under uncultured bacterium. Its description in RNAcentral is "partial 16S ribosomal RNA". It matches the Rfam family "Bacterial small subunit ribosomal RNA", at positions 28 to 507 of the family's 1533-position model. The record is from RNAcentral.
GAUGAACGCUGGCGGCGUGCCUAAUACAUGCAAGUCGAGCGGACAGACGAGGAGCUUGCUCCUCUGACGUUAGCGGCGGACGGGUGAGUAACACGUGGAUAACCUACCUAUAAGACUGGGAUAACUUCGGGAAACCGGAGCUACUACCGGAUAAUAUAUUGAACCGCAUGGUUCAAUAGUGAAAGACGGUUUUGCUGUCACUUAUAGAUGGAUCCGCGCCGCAUUAGCUAGUUGGUAAGGUAACGGCUUACCAAGGCAACGAUGCGUAGCCGACCUGAGAGGGUGAUCGGCCACACUGGAACUGAGACACGGUCCAGACUCCUACGGGAGGCAGCAGUAGGGAAUCUUCGGCAAUGGGCGAAAGCCUGACGGAGCAACGCCGCGUGAGUGAUGAAGGUCUUCGGAUCGUAAAACUCUGUUAUUAGGGAAGAACAACUGUAUAAGUAACUAUGCACGUCUUGACGGUACCUAAUCAGAAAGCCACGGCUAACUACGUG